UGGCCAUUGUCUUCACAUUUUAAAGCAAUGUGUAACCUUGAGUGUCAUUGCUAAUCUGCGCUUGUUGCUUAAAACUAACUCCACGCCGUCUGUGACCGAAACAGGACAGGAAACACGGGCCCACAGACUUAUGACGAAACGCUAUGUUGCAAAAAAAUUUAUUAACUGGAUACAAAGUUUUAGAAACAAAAGUUACAACAUUACAAAAAUAUUCAGAAAUUGUUCAUGAAACAGUAAACGAUACAAUCACUAUCAAAUUAUUGUUUUUAAACUUUAUUAACACAUUUUCUUAGACCUCCUGCUGUUCUUAUGGACAUUUUGCUUGUAUUGCUUUUUUGUUCUUUUCAAAACAUGAUUUAUGUCAGUGUAAACAUUAAUUAACAUGCUGCUUCCACAUAAUACAUAAACUGAGAGGUUCAAGGAUUAGAUUUAGGCUGCAAGAGUAUUUGGAGGUUUUCGCAGUGCUCACUGCCAGUUUGCAACUUGUUUGCAUUUCCACACAAAUACACCUCUUGUACACACUUGCUCUUCUCUCCCUCUCACACACAUUCAAGCACGUUGUUGAAUUUCAUUCUGUUAGUAAGUGACGCAUCCCCUCGAUGCUGGGGCGCUUCAACAAUUCUGAGCAGAGAGUUAUUGAUUCUAGUUAAUUUUUGUUAGGUUAUGUGUUCAUUAGUAGGUUAGUUUGUUAGUUUGUGGAGAGCUGUUCAACACUCUUCUUUUGGGUUAGUGAAUUGUUUUGAUGACUGUUGUUCAUAGUAGGUCUGUCCAGUGGUAUUGCUGGGCAUGCUUUGAUUUACUCAAAGUUUAGCAAAGAACAGCAAACAAAGACAUUAGUAAGAUGGACAUUUACAGGAUCAGGACUGUUAGUAUCAGCACCAAUCAGGAGUUAGCACUGAGGUGUGCUCAGUUUCUGUCUGACAUCACCGCCCGAGCUGACAACAAGCCAGGCACUCACCUGCAGGUUGACCGCACUGAGCACGUACAAAUGUAAAGGCUGACCUCUCUGAAUCUGAUCACAAUCGUUUUUGCGAUGAUUGCUCGUAAGUGUGUGGUCAACCCAGUUUGAUGUCAGCAGCUGUUCCCGCUUGUCUUUUCACCUUGAGCUUAAUCGCUUUCUUUCCCUUUCCAAGUCCCGAAACCCUUCUUGACAUGCUCAGUGCAACAUUUUUCCCGACUUUAACGAUUUAUUUAAACUUCUAAAAGAAGGGAUGCAAAAUCAUGCAAAGGAAGUAUAUGCGCUGCAGACCGCGGGCAGAAAGCAGAGGGUUAGUAAUCCUCCAACUGUUAGCACAUAUAUUAGUACUGUUAGAGAUUAGUGAGAUACUGUUAGUACAACCCAGAUGUGGGUAAAAAUCUAUUUACGCAUAAUUAUUAGCAUUUGCUGAAAUUGGCUUCAGUGUGAAAUGAUAGGACUGCAGGCAUCGGGACAACUUAAUUAAUGCCAGCGGGCAUCGUUUAGAAAACUACAGACCAUUAAUUUCCAAUGGCAUCCUUGUGAUCUAAAUCAGCAUAAUAACUGCUACUUCAGUGAGGUUGUAACAAAUGCUAAGAACCAUUUGUAAAUGUUGUUUUAUCCCUUAUCUGGUACAUCCAGUGGCUAAAAGAAUAUAGGCCUGUUAUUGAGUGUGCAGCUGUGAAAACAAAAACCACAGUAAAGCAGCUUUUAGCUUCAGGCCCGUUACAAAUACAUUUCAUCUGACUGAUAAGAGACACAUGCAGACAUACGUACAGGGUACAUGCAAAGAAACACGUGCACUCACGUAGACACUCCCGUAACACACACACACACACACACAAGUGUGAUCAACUUUAGAGGUUUCCACACAAACAAAAACAUACUGUGUGAAUGGCACAUUGGGAACUUGUCAUUUUCACACAAUUUAGCAGCUUUUUUUUUUUUUUUUCAAAUAUCAGAGCUUUGCACAAAUCUGUCAGAGUAAACUCCAGCUAUGAAAAGACACAAAAUAGAGUCUUGGUGAAACACUGCUCGCUUUGACUGAAGUAUCUUAUAUAGGAAGAAACCAUCAGAGGGUUAGAAAGAGUAGAGGUCACCGCACGCAUCACUGUUUUUGAACAGCAAAAUAAAGUCAGAGAACGGGCCAGGACGCGCUUAUUACUUACAAAAGAAAAAAAAACUGUAUCAAAUUAUUCUGUACAACACCCAUGAAAUAUCUCCCUGCUAAAUCUGAGCACACUGAUGUUGACCACGAAGCAACAAGUGAACUACUGUUUUCACUGAUUUGCAAAAGCAGAAGUCAUCUCUCAGUAGGGAAACACUGGAACACGGACUCGCUCUUCUGAAGGUGCAGGGCAGGGAAAAUGGCACCAUGUGGUCAUCGCUGCAAGACAAGUCACAAUAAAGGGAAUUAGGAUGGUAUAGUGUAGUAUAAAAUAAUAUAGAUAUAGCGAAUGAUGGCAUGAUUACAAAGAUAUAGUUUUGUACUGGUUUGAAAAAUAUUGACAAAUAUUUCCUUUUCUACAAAAAUCUUGAAUAAAAUCACCCGAGGGGCAGAUUAUGCUAAUAUGAUUUGGUCACAUGAUCCAAUUUGUGGUUUAUCUCACCUCUUAACCAUAAUCAUGAGAAAAGUACCAUAUAGCAAGCAUAAUAAUAAUAAUAAUAAUAAUAAAUGUCAGUGAUUAAGCACAUAACUGAUCUCCC
Molecule: long non-coding RNA, 2662 nt
Organism: Astatotilapia calliptera (eastern happy)
Lineage: Eukaryota; Metazoa; Chordata; Actinopteri; Cichliformes; Cichlidae
Source: Ensembl